This 107-nucleotide small nuclear RNA is filed under the name Delphinapterus leucas (beluga whale). Lineage: Eukaryota; Metazoa; Chordata; Mammalia; Artiodactyla; Monodontidae. The record is from RNAcentral.
GCGCUCGCUUCAGCAGCGCAUAUACUAAAAUUGGAAUGAUACAGAGAAGAUUAACAUGGCCCCUGCGCAAGGAUGACACGCAGAUUCGUGAAGCGUUCCAUAAGUUU